GCCUGCUUGGCUAAGUGGUACAGCGUCUCACUCGUAGAUUUUGGAUCUAGCCAAUGAGAAGAUCGAUGGUUCGAUUCCAUCAGUAGGCA
This is a transfer RNA of Cladophialophora immunda, 89 nucleotides long. It matches the Rfam family "tRNA". From Rfam's summary of the family: Transfer RNA (tRNA) molecules are approximately 80 nucleotides in length. Lineage: Eukaryota; Fungi; Ascomycota; Eurotiomycetes; Chaetothyriales; Herpotrichiellaceae. The record is from Rfam.